CGGACGGGUGAGUAACGCGUGGAUAACCUGCCGUAUACCGGGGGAUAACACUUAGAAAUAGGUGCUAAUACCGCAUAAGCGCACGGCUUCGCAUGAAGCAGUGUGAAAAACUCCGGUGGUAUACGAUGGAUCCGCGUCUGAUUAGCUGGUUGGCGGGGUAACGGCCCACCAAGGCAGCGAUCAGUAGCCGGCCUGAGAGGGUGGACGGCCACAUUGGGACUGAGACACGGCCCAGACUCCUACGGAAGGCAGCAG
This 255-nucleotide ribosomal RNA is filed under the name uncultured bacterium. Its description in RNAcentral is "partial 16S ribosomal RNA". It matches the Rfam family "Bacterial small subunit ribosomal RNA", at positions 99 to 354 of the family's 1533-position model. The record is from RNAcentral.